UUUUAAAAUAAAUUUUUCCAUAAAUAAAAGCCUCAAAACUAAAAAUACAAUCCUUAAUAAAAUAUGGGUAAUAUUCAAAUACCAUCCCUAUAGUUUCACAUUUUCUCACUUUAGUAUUAUAUGGUUUAAAAUGUAUCAAUUUAUUAGUAUCAUAUGGUUUUUUUUUUCUUUUCUUUUCGUUGGCUCCUCCAUUAACAUUUCGUUAAAUUAUAUUAAAAAAACUUCAAAUACCCCACCCAGAUUGAUCAAAUAUUUAUUUUAGUAUCUUUUAGUUUUAACUUUGUUGCUGAUUUAACGAAAAAAAUAAUGAAAUAGAUAAUAAAGAGAAAAAAAAAUUAUAAGUUAUUAAAUUGAUAUAUUUUAAACUAUAUGAUGUUAAAAUGAGAAAGUAUGAAACCACACACGGAGGUAUUUGAAGUUU
RNAcentral lists this long non-coding RNA (421 nucleotides) under Ananas comosus (pineapple). RNAcentral's name for it is "long non-coding RNA (ACOM_LNC020616)". The record is from RNAcentral. Lineage: Eukaryota; Viridiplantae; Streptophyta; Magnoliopsida; Poales; Bromeliaceae.